RNAcentral lists this ribosomal RNA (340 nucleotides) under Lactococcus lactis. Its description in RNAcentral is "bacterial SSU rRNA". It matches the Rfam family "Bacterial small subunit ribosomal RNA", at positions 1 to 331 of the family's 1533-position model. The record is from RNAcentral. Lineage: Bacteria; Bacillati; Bacillota; Bacilli; Lactobacillales; Streptococcaceae.
UUAUUUGAGAGUUUGAUCCUGGCUCAGGACGAACGCUGGCGGCGUGCCUAAUACAUGCAAGUUGAGCGCUGAAGGUUGGUACUUGUACCAACUGGAUGAGCAGCGAACGGGUGAGUAACGCGUGGGGAAUCUGCCUUUGAGCGGGGGACAACAUUUGGAAACGAAUGCUAAUACCGCAUAAAAACUUUAAACACAAGUUUUAAGUUUGAAAGAUGCAAUUGCAUCACUCAAAGAUGAUCCCGCGUUGUAUUAGCUAGUUGGUGAGGUAAAGGCUCACCAAGGCGAUGAUACAUAGCCGACCUGAGAGGGUGAUCGGCCACAUUGGGACUGAGACACGGCC